CACGGAGGGUAUAAAUGCCGGUCCGGGGGAAGGUCGAGUGUUAGAUCCACAACUGCGCUAACAUCGUAAGGUUAGACGCGAUUGGGUUCGAAAUCCUUUGAGUUGCUCCUCCUCGUCGAGUCUUUGCAAACACAACAAAAUGCGUGAGUGCAUCUCCAUCCACGUGGGCCAGGCCGGGUGCCAGAUGGGCAAUGCCUGCUGGGAACUCUACUGUCUCGAGCACGGCAUCGCCCCCGACGGCUCCAUGCCCUCCGACAAGGCCCUCGGAGGCGGCGACGACUCCUUCAACACCUUCUUCAGCGAAACCGGCGCCGGCAAACACGUUCCCAGGGCUGUCUUGUCGAUCUCGAACCCUCUGUUGUCGACGAAGUCCGCACCGGCACCUACCGCCAGCUGUUCCACCCCGAGCAGCUGAUCAGCGGCAAGGAGGACGCGGCCAACAACUACGCUCGCGGUCACUACACCAUCGGCAAGGAGAUCGUCGACCUCGUCUUGGACCGCGUCAGGAAGUUGGCCGACGCCUGCACGGGUCUCCAGGGCUUCCUGGUCUUCCACUCCUUCGGCGGCGGCACUGGCUCCGGCUUCACCUCCCUCCUCAUGGAAAGGCUCUCCGUCGACUACGGCAAGAAGAGCAAGCUGGAGUUCGCCAUCUACCCCCCCCCGGUCGCGUCGUCUACAACUCCUCCCACCCACACCACCCUGGAGCACUCCGACUGCGCCUUCAUGGUCGACAACGAAGCCAUCUACGACAUCUGCCGCAGGAACCUGGACAUCGAGCGCCCCACCUACGCCAACCUGAACCGUCUCAUCGGCCAGAUCGUCUCCUCCAUCACUGCCUCCCUCAGGUUCGACGGCGCCCUCAACGUUGACUUGACUGAGUUCCAGACCAACUUGGUGCCCUACCCCAGGAUCCACUUCCCUCUAGUCACCUACGCCCCCGUCAUCUCCGCCGAGAAGGCCUACCACGAGCAGCUCACCGUCGGCGAGAUCACCAACGCCUGCUUCGAGCCCGCCAACCAGAUGGUCAAGUGCGACCCCCGCCACGGCAAGUACAUGGCCUGCUGCCUGCUGUACCGUGGCGACGUCGUGCCCAAGGACGUCAACGCCGCCAUCGCCUCCAUCAAGACCAAGCGCUCCAUCCAGUUCGUGGACUGGUGUCCCACGGGCUUCAAGGUGGGCAUCAACUACCAGCCGCCCACCGUGGUGCCCAACGGCGACCUGGCCAAGGUGUCCCGCGCCGUCUGCAUGCUGUCCAACACCACCGCCAUCGCCGAGGCCUGGGCGCGCCUCGACCACAAGUUCGACCUGAUGUACGCCAAGCGCGCCUUCGUGCACUGGUACGUCGGCGAGGGCAUGGAGGAGGGCGAGUUCUCCGAGGCCCGCGAGGACCUGGCUGCCCUCGAGAAGGACUACGAGGAGGUCGGCCUCGACACUGUGGGCGACGAGGAGGAGCAAGGCGACGAUUACUAGGCUGACCCGCAGGGCGGCCUGGACACGACUCGCCUAUAGAGGGGCCCAGAAGCCCCUCGCGAAGUCAUUGGUCACACAGCUUUACCCUUACUGUUAGGCAACCAAAACCAUUCCAUUUGGAACGCAACAGAAAUUAAAACAAAUAUUUUGGUACCA
Molecule: non-coding RNA, 1626 nt
Organism: Penaeus vannamei (Pacific white shrimp)
Lineage: Eukaryota; Metazoa; Arthropoda; Malacostraca; Decapoda; Penaeidae
Source: RefSeq, a predicted model, not a curated record